Molecule: ribosomal RNA, 551 nt
Filed under: uncultured bacterium
Lineage: Bacteria
Description: bacterial SSU rRNA
Rfam family: Bacterial small subunit ribosomal RNA
Source: RNAcentral
UAGGGAAUCUUCGGCAAUGGACGGAAGUCUGACCGAGCAACGCCGCGUGAGUGAAGAAGGUUUUCGGAUCGUAAAGCUCUGUUGUAAGAGAAGAACGAGUGUGAGAGUGGAAAGUUCACACUGUGACGGUAUCUUACCAGAAAGGGACGGCUAACUACGUGCCAGCAGNCGCGGUAAUACGUAGGUCCCGAGCGUUGUCCGGAUUUAUUGGGCGUAAAGCGAGCGCAGGCGGUUAGAUAAGUCUGAAGUUAAAGGCUGUGGCUUAACCAUAGUAGGCUUUGGAAACUGUUUAACUUGAGUGCAAGAGGGGAGAGUGGAAUUCCAUGUGUAGCGGUGAAAUGCGUAGAUAUAUGGAGGAACACCGGUGGCGAAAGCGGCUCUCUGGCUUGUAACUGACACUGAGGCUCGAAAGCGUGGGGAGCAAACAGGAUUAGAUACCCUGGUAGUCCACGCUGUAAACGAUGAGUGCUAGGUGUUAGACCCUUUCCGGGGUUUAGUGCCGUAGCUAACGCAUUAAGCACUCCGCCUGGGGAGUACGACGGGCAAGGUUG